This 320-nucleotide ribosomal RNA is filed under the name uncultured eukaryote. Its description in RNAcentral is "partial 18S ribosomal RNA". It matches the Rfam family "Eukaryotic small subunit ribosomal RNA", at positions 1470 to 1796 of the family's 1831-position model. The record is from RNAcentral.
CCCUUAGACGUUCUGGGCCGCACGCGCGCUACACUGACCAGUGCAACAAGCAUCCGUCCUUGGCCGACAGGCCCGGGCAAUCUUUGAACGCUGGUCGUGAUGGGGAUAGACUUUUGCAAUUUUUGGUCUUCAACGAGGAAUUCCUAGUAAACGCAAGUCAUCAACUUGCAUUGAUUACGUCCCUGCCCUUUGUACACACCGCCCGUCGCUCCUACCGAUUUCGAGUGGUCCGGUGAAUCUUUCGGACUGCGCGCGGCCUCGUGCCGUGUCGCGGAAAGUCAGGUAAACCUUAUCACUUAGAGGAAGGAGAAGUCGUAACA